UGCCCUAUACUGGGGAAUAAUCACUGGAAACGGUGACUAAUACCGCAUGUCAUUACGGAAGGGCAUCCUUCUGUAAGAAAAGGAGUAAUUCGGUAUAGGAUGGGCCCGCAUCUGAUUAGCUAGUUGGUGAGAUAACAGCCCACCAAGGCGACGAUCAGUAGCCGACCUGAGAGGGUGAUCGGCCACAUUGGGACUGAGACACGGCCCAAACUCCUACGGGAGGCAGCAGUGGGGAAUAUUGCACAAUGGGGGAAACCCUGAUGCAGCAACGCCGCGUGAAGGAAGAAGGUUUUCGGAUCGUAAACUUCUAUCAACAGGGACGAAGAAAGUGACGGUACCUGAAUAAGAAGCCCCGGCUAACUACGUGCCAGCAGCCGCGGUAAUACGUAGGGGGCAAGCGUUAUCCGGAAUUACUGGGUGUAAAGGGAGCGUAGGCGGCACGCCAAGCCAGAUGUGAAAGCCCGAGGCUUAACCUCCGGAUUGCAUUUGGAACUGGCGAGCUAGAGUACAGGAGAGGAAAGCGGAAUUCCUAGUGUAGCGGUGAAAUGCGUAGAUAUUAGGAAGAACACCAGUGGCGAAGGCGGCUUUCUGGACUGAAACUGACGCUGAGGCUCGGAAGCGUGGGGAGCAAACAGGAUUAGAUACCCUGGUAGUCCACGCCGUAAACGAUGAGUGCUAGGUGUCGGG
RNAcentral lists this ribosomal RNA (687 nucleotides) under uncultured bacterium. Its description in RNAcentral is "bacterial SSU rRNA". It matches the Rfam family "Bacterial small subunit ribosomal RNA", at positions 127 to 827 of the family's 1533-position model. The record is from RNAcentral.